GAUGAACGCUAGCUACAGGCUUAACACAUGCAAGUCGAGGGGCAGCAUGGUCUUAGCUUGCUAAGGCCGAUGGCGACCGGCGCACGGGUGAGUAACACGUAUCCAACCUGCCGUCUACUCUUGGACAGCCUUCUGAAAGGAAGAUUAAUACAAGAUGGCAUCAUGAGUUCACAUGUUCACAUGAUUAAAGGUAUUCCGGUAGACGAUGGGGAUGCGUUCCAUUAGAUAGUAGGCGGGGUAACGGCCCACCUAGUCUUCGAUGGAUAGGGGUUCUGAGAGGAAGGUCCCCCACAUUGGAACUGAGACACGGUCCAAACUCCUACGGGAGGCAGCAGUGAGGAAGAUUGGUCAAUGGGCGAGAGCCUGAACCAGCCAAGUAGCGUGAAGGAUGACUGCCCUAUGGGUUGUAAACUUCUUUUAUAAAGGAAUAAAGUCGGGUAUGUAUACCCGUUUGCAUGUACUUUAUGAAUAAGGACCGGCUAACUCCGUG
This 490-nucleotide ribosomal RNA is filed under the name uncultured bacterium. RNAcentral describes it as "partial 16S ribosomal RNA". It matches the Rfam family "Bacterial small subunit ribosomal RNA", at positions 28 to 507 of the family's 1533-position model. The record is from RNAcentral.